UACGAUGAAGAGUUUGAUCCUGGCUCAGGAUGAACGCUAGCGGCAGGCUUAACACAUGCAAGUCGAGGGGUAUAAGUCUUCGGAUUUAGAGACCGGCGCACGGGUGCGUAACGCGUAUGCAAUCUACCUUUUACAGAGGGAUAGCCCAGAGAAAUUUGGAUUAAUACCUCAUAGUAUAUUGAGUUGGCAUCAACACAAUAUUAAAGUUACAACGGUAAAAGAUGAGCAUGCGUCCCAUUAGCUAGUUGGUAAGGUAACGGCUUACCAAGGCUACGAUGGGUAGGG
This 285-nucleotide ribosomal RNA is filed under the name Flavobacterium sp. ZT3R18. RNAcentral describes it as "partial 16S ribosomal RNA". It matches the Rfam family "Bacterial small subunit ribosomal RNA", at positions 1 to 288 of the family's 1533-position model. The record is from RNAcentral. Lineage: Bacteria; Pseudomonadati; Bacteroidota; Flavobacteriia; Flavobacteriales; Flavobacteriaceae.